CAAUGCAGAUGCAGAAAUCGAGAAGAGAGAAAAAAAAAACCGCGUUGUUUCGGUCGAACAAUCGUCGUAACAGCGCGAUAAUAUGAUAAUUAUGGCCGACAGUUUUUACUUUCUACGCGAUCCGGUGCCGGCCGAUCUCGGCGGAACACGCCGCCGGCGAGCAAUACAAACAACACGUAAUACGCACGAACGUACGACUGGC
Molecule: non-coding RNA, 202 nt
Organism: Cinara cedri
Lineage: Eukaryota; Metazoa; Arthropoda; Insecta; Hemiptera; Aphididae
Source: the annotation of a GenBank genome assembly